CCAGCUAAAUGUAAGCAUACCAGUUAGCAGAGGAAAAGAAACUAAGAAAAAUGUCCUCAGUGAUGGGGAGUGAACAGAGAAGAACCUAAUGCUGAAUUCCUCCCACCCCAUGGUGGGGUGUGGGAAGUGUGGUAUAUGGAAGACUCACUCCCUAGCACAGCUCACGGGGAGUUAAGGGAAAGUCCCUCUGAGCAGGGACCGUGUGAGGCUGGUGUUGGCCCCAGUGUGCCAGGCCCAGGUCUUCCUUGAGUCAGAUUGCUUGGUAAUGCAGUCCAAAGUGGGUGGGAAAGCCGGGCAUGGUGGCUCACACCUGUAAUCCUGGCACUCUGUGAGACUGAGGCAGGCGGAUCACCUGAGCUCAUAAGUUCAAGCCAAGCCUGAGCUAGAGCAAGACCCUGUCCCUCUAAAAAAAAAAAAAAAAAAAUAGCCGGGCAUUGUGGUGGGUGCCUGUAGUUCCAGCUAUGCAGGAGGCUGAGGCAAGAGAAUCACUUGAGAGUUUGAGGUUGCUGUGAGCUACGACAUCAUCACUUGAGCCCAAGACUCUGAGGUUGCUGUGAGCUAUGACGCCAUGCCACUCUACCAGGCACAACAAAGUGAGGCUCUGUCUCAAAAAAUAAAUAAAGUGGGUGGGAAAUUCCUUAUAAAGCUAAAUAGCAUCUCAAGACAGAUAGUCAACAGGUACCAUAGGGAAUGUCAAAAAGAACUUUGAAAAGAGAGCAAAAAUGAGCCGAACUCACCUUUAUAAGAAAG
This 750-nucleotide non-coding RNA is filed under the name Otolemur garnettii (small-eared galago). RNAcentral describes it as "Eukaryotic large subunit ribosomal RNA". It matches the Rfam family "Eukaryotic large subunit ribosomal RNA", at positions 24 to 419 of the family's 3401-position model. Lineage: Eukaryota; Metazoa; Chordata; Mammalia; Primates; Galagidae. The record is from Rfam by way of RNAcentral.